AUGCUGGAGGUAUCAGAAGUGCGAAUGCUGACAUAAGUAACGAUAAAGCGGGUGAAAAGCCCGCUCGCCGGAAGACCAAGGGUUCCUGUCCAACGUUAAUCGGGGCAGGGUGAGUCGACCCCUAAGGCGAGGCCGAAAGGCGUAGUCGAUGGGAAACAGGUUAAUAUUCCUGUACUUGGUGUUACUGCGAAGGGGGGACGGAGAAGGCUAUGUUGGCCGGGCGACGGUUGUCCCGGUUUAAGCGUGUAGGCUGGUUUUCCAGGCAAAUCCGGAAAAUCAAGGCUGAGGCGUGAUGACGAGGCACUACGGUGCUGAAGCAACAAAUGCCCUGCUUCCAGGAAAAGCCUCUAAGCAUCAGGUAACAUCAAAUCGUACCCCAAACCGACACAGGUGGUCAGGUAGAGAAUACCAAGGCGCUUGAGAGAACUCGGGUGAAGGAACUAGGCAAAAUGGUGCCGUAACUUCGGGAGAAGGCACGCUGAUAUGUAGGUGAAGUCCCUCGCGGAUGGAGCUGAAAUCAGUCGAAGAUACCAGCUGGCUGCAACUGUUUAUUAAAAACACAGCACUGUGCAAACACGAAAGUGGACGUAUACGGUGUGACGCCUGCCCGGUGCCGGAAGGUUAAUUGAUGGGGUUAGCGCAAGCGAAGCUCUUGAUCGAAGCCCCGGUAAACGGCGGCCGUAACUAUAACGGUCCUAAGGUAGCGAAAUUCCUUGUCGGGUAAGUUCCGACCUGCACGAAUGGCGUAAUGAUGGCCAGGCUGUCUCCACCCGAGACUCAGUGAAAUUGAACUCGCUGUGAAGAUGCAGUGUACCCGCGGCAAGACGGAAAGACCCCGUGAACCUUUACUAUAGCUUGACACUGAACAUUGAGCCUUGAUGUGUAGGAUAGGUGGGAGGCUUUGAAGUGUGGACGCCAGUCUGCAUGGAGCCGACCUUGAAAUACCACCCUUUAAUGUUUGAUGUUCUAACGUUGACCCGUGAUCCGGGUUGCGGACAGUGUCUGGUGGGUAGUUUGACUGGGGCGGUCUCCUCCUAAAGAGUAACGGAGGAGCACGAAGGUUGGCUAAUCCUGGUCGGACAUCAGGAGGUUAGUGCAAUGGCAUAAGCCAGCUUGACUGCGAGCGUGACGGCGCGAGCAGGUGCGAAAGCAGGUCAUAGUGAUCCGGUGGUUCUGAAUGGAAGGGCCAUCGCUCAACGGAUAAAAGGUACUCCGGGGAUAACAGGCUGAUACCGCCCAAGAGUUCAUAUCGACGGCGGUGUUUGGCACCUCGAUGUCGGCUCAUCACAUCCUGGGGCUGAAGUAGGUCCCAAGGGUAUGGCUGUUCGCCAUUUAAAGUGGUACGCGAGCUGGGUUUAGAACGUCGUGAGACAGUUCGGUCCCUAUCUGCCGUGGGCGCUGGAGAAUUGAGGGGGGCUGCUCCUAGUACGAGAGGACCGGAGUGGACGCAUCACUGGUGUUCGGGUUGUCAUGCCAAUGGCACUGCCCGGUAGCUAAAUGCGGAAGAGAUAAGUGCUGAAAGCAUCUAAGCACGAAACUUGCCCCGAGAUGAGUUCUCCCUGACUCCUUGAGAGUCCUGAAGGAACGUUGAAGACGACGACGUUGAUAGGCCGGGUGUGUAAGCGCAGCGAUGCGUUGAGCUAACCGGUACUAAUGAACCGUGAGGCUUAACCUUACAACGCCGAAG
Molecule: ribosomal RNA, 1687 nt
Filed under: Escherichia coli
Lineage: Bacteria; Pseudomonadati; Pseudomonadota; Gammaproteobacteria; Enterobacterales; Enterobacteriaceae
Description: partial 23S ribosomal RNA
Rfam family: Bacterial large subunit ribosomal RNA
Source: RNAcentral